AUUGAACGCUGGCGGCAGGCCUAACACAUGCAAGUCGAGCGGAUGAAGGGAGCUUGCUCCUGGAUUCAGCGGCGGACGGGUGAGUAAUGCCUAGGAAGCUGCCUGGUAGUGGGGGAUAACGUCCGGAAACGGGCGCUAAUACCGCAUACGUCCUGAGGGAGAAAGUGGGGGAUCUUCGGACCUCACGCUAUCAGAUGAGCCUAGGUCGGAUUAGCUAGUUGGUGGGGUAAAGGCCUACCAAGGCGACGAUCCGUAACUGGUCUGAGAGGAUGAUCAGUCGCACUGGAACUGAGACACGGUCCAGACUCCUACGGGAGGCAGCAGUGGGGAAUAUUGGACAAUGGGCGAAAGCCUGAUCCAGCCAUGCCGCGUGUGUGAAGAAGGUCUUCGGAUUGUAAAGCACUUUAAGUUGGGAGGAAGGGCAGUAAGUUAAUACCUUGCUGUUUUGACGUUACCAACAGAAUAAGCACCGGCUAACUUCGUG
This 484-nucleotide ribosomal RNA is filed under the name uncultured bacterium. RNAcentral describes it as "partial 16S ribosomal RNA". It matches the Rfam family "Bacterial small subunit ribosomal RNA", at positions 30 to 507 of the family's 1533-position model. The record is from RNAcentral.